Non-coding RNA from Phodopus roborovskii (desert hamster), 471 nucleotides. Lineage: Eukaryota; Metazoa; Chordata; Mammalia; Rodentia; Cricetidae. The record is from the annotation of a RefSeq genome assembly.
AUGGAGAGGAAGCUGGGAGCUGUACUGGGGAUUCUGUUUGUGCAGAUUUGCUUGGUGAGAGGAGUUGAGGUGGAGCAGAGUCCUUCAGUCCUGAGUCUCCAUGAAGGAUCCAGUUAUGCUCUGACAUGCAAGUUUUCUACAACCAUGAUGUAUGUACAGUGGUUCCAGCAGAAUCCCAGGGGCAGCCUCAUAAAUCUUUUUUACAUGGCUCCAGGAAAAAAGGAGAAUGGAAGAUUAACCGCAACAUUCAAUUCUAAGGAGCGCAACAGCACCCUGCACAUCAGGGAUGCCCAGCUGGAGGACUCAGGCACCUACCUCUGUGCUGCUGAAGCACAGUGUUUCCAGCAAGCCUGCAGCCUGGUCCAAAACUGCAGCUGGGUGUGCAGCUACAACCCUUACACAGGGAGACUCUGCAGGAGGUUUUUGCAGAGGUGUGUUUUUAUCAGAUCUCCACCAACUACAAAGGUGUGA